Molecule: long non-coding RNA, 1049 nt
Organism: Trichoplusia ni (cabbage looper)
Lineage: Eukaryota; Metazoa; Arthropoda; Insecta; Lepidoptera; Noctuidae
Exons: 2
Source: RefSeq, a predicted model, not a curated record
UCUCCAUUUCGUUUUACUUCAUACUAUUAGCAAAAAAUAUUAAAUUUUUUGUUUGUCUUAGUAAUUUUAGCCUAAUUUAAAUAUUAGUUGAUGAACUUCCAAUAGAUUAGAAUACAAUGAAUUCUCUCAACUCACAAUAUUUACAUAUUUACGCAAAUUUUUAAUAAUCAUUUUGAUUGAUCAUUUUGUACCCUGCCAGGCAGCAAAAAUUUAGGCGAUGUGUUUUUAUUCGUUUGCUUCUCCCUAUUUUUGAUUUGUUGUGACAACCCACGUGACAAUUGAAAUCCGACUCUGACUGACAUGACGUGACAAUAAAAAAUACAACACAAUAGUCAUUACCUCCUAUUACUACGAAACUAAUAGAAAACUUUAAAAAUGUAUUUCAAAUUGUGUGUUUUCCUCUUUACGUUGCUGAGUGUAACUAGGGUGGAAGCGUCGCAAGGAUACGAUUUCGGCGACUUUUUAGCAACAGUUAUAGGACUUGGUAUUGCUGGUAUAGGAAUCCUUGCAUGUUUGGGCAAAUACGCAAGACAGCAAGCAAGAAAUGAAUUUAUUUAAAAUGUUCUGAUGUCGGGGUGUGGAGCAUGGAUAUCAAAAGACAAGAUAAAAUAAAACAAUGGAAACGCGGCUGUUCAAACAAAAGUAGCAUGAACACAUUUCGGCUAUGAUUAUAAUUAAUAUUCUGUAUAAUUAUGUCUGACAAGAAAAAAACAUAUUUUUGCACUGUAAUCAAUCCUAAAUAUGUAAAAUAAGUAACUAGUAACUUUAGCUAUAAGGAUAUUUUUUGUAUAAAUGUAAGUCUGUUUUCAGAUAACAUUUUGUACUACAAUGUAUAAUAGUAAUACAUUUGACCUUCCAAUAAUCUAUUGAAAAUCAUUUUCAAGAAUCCAAUACUUUAUGGUAUUUUCAGAUCUGAAAACAUAUUCCUUAUAAUGUUAUGUGAUAUCUAUUUAUAUGACCAAAAUAUUAUGCUUAUGUGUUUAGAUCAUUUUCUUCCUUUCUAUUUGUUAACUUUCUAGAUAUUAUUAAAUAUUUCUUUUAUAAUGUGA